Molecule: ribosomal RNA, 469 nt
Filed under: uncultured bacterium
Lineage: Bacteria
Description: partial 16S ribosomal RNA
Rfam family: Bacterial small subunit ribosomal RNA
Source: RNAcentral
GAUGAACGCUGGCGGCGUGCUUAACACAUGCAAGUCGAACGGAGAACACGGAGCUUGCUCUUUGGGAUCAGUGGCGAACGGGUGAGUAUCACGCGAGCAACAUGCACCUGACUCUGGGAUAUGAGCUGGAAACGGCGUCUCAUACUGGGUAUGUGACGUGACCGCAUGGUCUGCGUAUGGAAAGGAUGUUCGGGUGGGGAUGGUUGCGCGGCCUAUCAGCUCGUUGGCGAGGUAAUGGCUCACCAAGGCGUCGACGGAUAGCCGGCCUGAGAGGGUGACCGGCCACAAUGGGACUGAGAGACGGCCCAGACGCCUACGGGAGGCAGCAGUGGGGAAUAUUGCACAAUGGCCGCAAGCCAGAUGCAGCGACGCCGCGUGAGGGAUGACGGCCUUCGAGUUGUAAACCUCUUUUAGCAGGGAAGAAGAGAAAGUGACGGUACCUGCAGAGAAAGCGCCGGCUAACUACGUG